AUCCAAUUUGGCGAUCAGUUCCGUUAAACUUGAUCUACACUAUUAGAACUAUUUGAAAACCAAAUUUCAUAAUUUUUUGACUUUGUUUGUCUAGUGAACGAGUAGUCUCAAAAUGAACUGCUGAAAAUAAAAAUCUCAUAAAAAAUAGUGAUAAAAGACUCAAAUUUUAAAUCGGAAGUAUUGAUCUUGCUACUGAUGUUACGUAGAAUUUUCUAUUAAAUUUUUAUGUAAUUUGGAUACUUCUACACCGUUGAACUUAAAAACGUGCUACAUCGGCCAUUAAAAUAGUCAUUUUUGAGACUUUUUGAUCGCUUGGUAAAUAAUGUCAAAAAAUUAUAAAAUUUGGUUUCUAGAUAGUUCCAACAUGGUAGAUUAUACUUAACGGAACCGAUCGUCAAAUCGAAUGUCCUAUCAUCGAAAACAACUUACAAGCACGGAGGUCUCCGUACUUUCGUAAGUGCAGGAGACUUACUCUAUAUA
This 480-nucleotide long non-coding RNA is filed under the name Ananas comosus (pineapple). Its description in RNAcentral is "long non-coding RNA (ACOM_LNC044806)". The record is from RNAcentral. Lineage: Eukaryota; Viridiplantae; Streptophyta; Magnoliopsida; Poales; Bromeliaceae.